UACAGAGGUCCCAAGCGUUGUUCGGAUUCACUGGGCGUAAAGGGUGCGUAGGCGGUCGGGUAAGUCUGGCGUGAAAUCUCCAAGCCUAACUUGGAAACUGCGUUGGAUACUAUCCGGCUCGAGGAAUGGAGGGGAGACUGGAAUACUUGGUGUAGCAGUGAAAUGCGUAGAUAUCUGGAGGAACACCGGUGGCGAAGGCGGCAUCCUGGACCAACACUGACACUGAGGAGCGAAAGCCAGGGGAGCAAACGGG
RNAcentral lists this ribosomal RNA (253 nucleotides) under uncultured bacterium. RNAcentral describes it as "partial 16S ribosomal RNA". It matches the Rfam family "Bacterial small subunit ribosomal RNA", at positions 524 to 776 of the family's 1533-position model. The record is from RNAcentral.